RNAcentral lists this long non-coding RNA (229 nucleotides) under Salvia miltiorrhiza (redroot sage). RNAcentral describes it as "long non-coding RNA (SMIL_LNC003723)". Lineage: Eukaryota; Viridiplantae; Streptophyta; Magnoliopsida; Lamiales; Lamiaceae. The record is from RNAcentral.
GAGUCAUGUUUUUUAUUUUUUAUUUUUUAUUUUAAGAUUUUCAAUUUAUGUUUUUAAUUUUUAAUGAAUCGUCGUUUUAUCUAAGAAACUGACCCAUAGGUUUUGAUUUCUCCACGUAAGUGACACAUCAGCUUCGAUUUCGUCAGAGGCCUUCACCGUGGGAUAAUUGCAAACAAAUUAUAAAUUGAUGUAUUUCAUGGUCAAAUUAAAAGGUGAUGAUAUAAACCAG